Long non-coding RNA from Zophobas morio, 406 nucleotides. RefSeq lists it as uncharacterized. NCBI's taxonomy places the organism in Eukaryota, Metazoa, Arthropoda, Insecta, Coleoptera, Tenebrionidae. The transcript is spliced from 2 exons. The record is from RefSeq and is a predicted model, not a curated record.
CUCCCAAGAUUUCAUAAAUACUUAAUUGUUUCUAAAUUUUUAAUCAAUUAGAAAAAUACUAUUUUCAACUAUGUAUUAUAUAGUUCUAUUCACGCUUGCGGCUUUUGUUGCAUAUUCUUCUCAAACAGUUCCGCACUGUCCGGCCCGAGACGGUGCACAACCAACUUACAUUCCACACGAUGAUUGUACGAAAUUUUACGAAUGUUCUAAUGGGGAACCGUUUUUGUUUGACUGCCCAGCUGGAUUACACUUUAAUCCUGAUAAAAAUGUUUGUGAUUGGCCCCAGGACGCAGGAUGUAGAAGAGCAACAGAAUAAUUUUUUUUAAUUUAUAUUACUAAUAUUUCUUCAUUUAUGGAAAUUGUCAAAAAAAGUUUAGAUAAAUAGUAACAAUGAGGAAUUCUAAAA